AUUACACAAAUAUGAAGGCGGGCUGGAACCUCUCGGGGUUACAGCCUUGCUGAAUUAUUCACCCUUGUCUUUUGCGUACUUCUUGUUUCCUUGGUGGGUUCGCCCACCACUAGGACAAACAUAAACCUUUUGUAAUUGCAAUCAGCGUCAGUAACAAAUUAAUAAUUACAACUUUCAACAACGGAUCUCUUGGUUCUGGCAUCGAUGAAGAACGCAGCGAAAUGCGAUAAGUAGUGUGAAUUGCAGAAUUCAGUGAAUCAUCGAAUCUUUGAACGCACAUUGCGCCCUUUGGUAUUCCAAAGGGCAUGCCUGUUCGAGCGUCAUUUGUACCCUCAAGCUUUGCUUGGUGUUGGGCGUCUUGUCUCUAGCUUUGCUGGAGACUCGCCUUAAAGUAAUUGGCAGCCGGCCUACUGGUUUCGGAGCGCAGCACAAGUCGCACUCUCUAUCAGCAAAGGUCUAGCAUCCAUUAAGCCUUUUUUUCAACUUUUGACCUCGGAUCAGGUAGGGAUACCCGCUGAACUUAAGCAUAUCAAAAGGCGGGAGGAAA
This 547-nucleotide ribosomal RNA is filed under the name Alternaria alternata. RNAcentral describes it as "eukaryotic LSU rRNA". The stretch from base 170 to 323 matches the Rfam family "5.8S ribosomal RNA". The record is from RNAcentral. Lineage: Eukaryota; Fungi; Ascomycota; Dothideomycetes; Pleosporales; Pleosporaceae.